GUCUGUAGCGAAGCGGUCAAACGCGCCUGACUGUAAAUCAGGUGGCCUUGUGCCUUCGGGGGUUCGAAUCCCUCCGGGCC
This 80-nucleotide transfer RNA is filed under the name marine eukaryotic metagenome. It matches the Rfam family "tRNA". Rfam says of the family: Transfer RNA (tRNA) molecules are approximately 80 nucleotides in length. Their secondary structure includes four short double-helical elements and three loops (D, anti-codon, and T loops). Further hydrogen bonds mediate the characteristic L-shaped molecular structure. tRNAs have two regions of fundamental functional importance: the anti-codon, which is responsible for specific mRNA codon recognition, and the 3' end, to which the tRNAs corresponding amino acid is attached (by aminoacyl-tRNA synthetases). tRNAs cope with the degeneracy of the genetic code in two manners: having more than one tRNA (with a specific anti-codon) for a particular amino acid; and 'wobble' base-pairing, i.e. permitting non-standard base-pairing at the 3rd anti-codon position. The record is from RNAcentral.